Oncorhynchus nerka (sockeye salmon) is the source of this 811-nucleotide long non-coding RNA. RefSeq lists it as uncharacterized. Lineage: Eukaryota; Metazoa; Chordata; Actinopteri; Salmoniformes; Salmonidae. The record is from RefSeq and is a predicted model, not a curated record. The transcript is spliced from 3 exons.
GCAAAAUUGAUACUGUGAGAUUUCAAACCGUUUAAAACCAUGACUAGAGAGAGACUGUCAGCGAAUACAACAAAAAGAUGGUGUUUUUAUGAGAGGCAGAAAUAAUGCGGUGCGACUCGGAGUUUCGUCAUCAGCUGGAAGACGGUGUCCCUUUUGGCAGGAAGCAGAUUGUCACCUUGACUAUGGUGACACCAUUUUCCAGAUUGCAGCAGCCACUCCUCUUCAACCAUUGGACGCCGUCUACCAUAGUGCCCUUUGCUUUAUCACAGGUGACAGUUUUAAUAUUGUCCACUGCAUCCUGUAUCAAAAGGUUGGUUGGACCUCACUAAAAUCCCAGAGAUCACAUCAUUUACGACCUUCUUGUUUACGAAGCGCUUCUCCACAAGCUUCCAAUAUACCCCACUUCCCUAUUGGAAAUGUAAAAAUAUGAGAUAGCAAACCCGUUCGCAAGGUUGGUUAACUCUUGAGGUCCCCCUUGUCUCAACAAGGUUUUAUAAAUCCGCCUUUAGUUUUAACGCACCACAGUUAUGGAAUAGCUUACAAAAGAAAUGACACCUGUUGCUGACAGGGCAGUUUAAACUCUGUUGCUAAAUGUGUUCACUGAAGUGUGUAAUUCUUUCAAUUGACUAGUAUAACUUGUUGUAAGCACCUUAUGUAAUGUAUUUAUAGUGUCUAGUAUAACUUGUUGUAAGCACCUUAUGUAAUGUAUUUAUAGUGUCUAGUAUAACUUGUUGUAAGCACCUUAUGUAAUGUAUUUAUAGUGUCUAGUAUAACUUGUUGUAAGCACCUUAUGUAAUGUAUUUAUACUGUC